GACGAACGCUGGCGGCGUGCUUAACACAUGCAAGUCGAACGGGAUCCAAAGGCUUUUUGUUUUUGGUGAGAGUGGCGAACGGGUGAGUAACACGUGAGUAACCUGCCCCCUUCUUUUGGAUAACCGCAUGAAAGUGUGGCUAAUACAGGAUAUUCCAGGCUGGUCGCAUGAUUGGUUUGGGAAAUGGUUUGGUCUGGUGGGGGAUGGGCUCGCGGCCUAUCAGCUUGUUGGUGGGGUGAUGGCCUACCAAGGCGGUGACGGGUAGCCGGCCUGGGAGGGUGGGCGGUCACACUGGGACUGAGAUACGGCCCAGACUCCUACGGGAGGCAGCAGUGGGGGAUUUUGCACAAUGGGCGCAAGCCUGAUGCAGCGACGCCGCGUGAGGGAUGAAGGCCUUCGGGUUGUAAACCUCUUUCGCUGGGUUGAAAGGCCAUGCUUUGGGUGUGGUUGAUUUGAACUGGUAAAGAAGUACCGGCUAACUACGUG
This 486-nucleotide ribosomal RNA is filed under the name uncultured bacterium. RNAcentral describes it as "partial 16S ribosomal RNA". It matches the Rfam family "Bacterial small subunit ribosomal RNA", at positions 28 to 507 of the family's 1533-position model. The record is from RNAcentral.